This 253-nucleotide ribosomal RNA is filed under the name uncultured bacterium. Its description in RNAcentral is "partial 16S ribosomal RNA". It matches the Rfam family "Bacterial small subunit ribosomal RNA", at positions 524 to 776 of the family's 1533-position model. The record is from RNAcentral.
UACGAGGGGGGCGAGCGUUGUUCGGAUUCAUUGGGCGUAAAGGGUGCGUAGGCGGUCGCGCAAGUCGGAUGUGAAAUCUCAGGGCUCAACCCUGAAACUGCAUUCGAUACUGCGUGGCUAGAGUGCUGGAGAGGAGACUGGAAUUUACGGUGUAGCAGUGAAAUGCGUAGAUAUCGUAAGGAAGACCAGUGGCGAAGGCGAGUCUCUGGACAGCAACUGACGCUGAGGCACGAAGGCCAGGGGAGCAAACGGG